This 1067-nucleotide long non-coding RNA is filed under the name Chrysolophus pictus (golden pheasant). Its description in RNAcentral is "lncRNA (ENSCPIG00010011233.1)". The record is from RNAcentral. Lineage: Eukaryota; Metazoa; Chordata; Aves; Galliformes; Phasianidae.
GCAGAGCUAGAGCAGUGGGCAUGGUGGGAUAGGUUGAUGAUUGAUGGGCUGAUGGUUGGGCUUGAUGAGCUUAGUGGUCUUUUUGAACCUUAAUGGUUCUACAAUUCUCUGACGUUCUCUCGUUUCACAGCCUGUGCAGUGCUUUUCCCUCUGUUUGGCAUUGGAUAGCCAAGGACAGAAGUCUAAAAGCAGGCAGGUUAUUCUCCAAAUGCACCACAAAACAACAGCGACAACAACGAGGGAAGAUGUUGGAGCUCUGAUCCUGAAAGAUCUUUCUGAGGUGCUGAGUCCUGCCCAUGGAGAUGCUACAGGAGCUCCUGGGCUGCAUCAGCCAAGGCUGAAGGUCAGCUCAGGAGGAGCUGGGCCAGGUGCAGCUCCUGCAGUGGGGGCUUGCACAUGCUAGAGCUGUGCAAGUGAAAUACAGGGUUUAGGAGUCUGCAAAAGAACUGCAGACAGGGAGAUGCUAGCUCCCUGACUCAGCAGCUGUGGUCCUGCUCUUCUAGAAACCACAGGACCGAGCUGCUGCACUACUAGAUGAUAGUGGAGGCAACACCAAGACCAUUGCAUAACCUCAUCUAUCUUCUGUGGAAGCCUGAAGUCUACAGGAAAGCACAAAUCCAAGCCUCUAGAAGUAUAAUUGACCCUGAGGCCUGGCUUCAUCACACACAACUCAACAGCAGCAUCGGUUCUUCUGCCCAACCAGAGCCCAGACCGUCAGUGCAGGAACACUGCAGCCCAGGUUGGCACCAAUGAGUCCCAGUGCUGUGCUGGGUGCAGAAAGUGGAACAGGAGAACACUUCAGGAGCUGCACUCAGGUGGGACAGGACUGUGGAAACAAGCUGCCCAACAGCAAAUUGGUGAGCAUCUGUUGCUACUGAUCCAAAUAACAAGAAGAUCUUGAGUGACACUGCCUUGAGAAAAGAAAAUUCUGAGGGAAGCAAACAGCAAAUGGCCCCUGAAUAUCUCAGUGCUGGACUAUUUUGCAGUAAAUUUGCUGUUCUGUGGUGCAGUGCAGAUGUGGUGAGCAGGUCUUUGCUCUGAAGGGCUUUUGCCAUCUGAGCACAGAG